AUGCAUGCGACACGACAGUCGACCGGUCUAGCGGGCCAGCGACCUGCGCCCCGGCCGGCUCUGCUCUCAGUUGACGACCGAGAGCUGCGGGAAGGCGAAGUGCGGGUACGGCGACAGCGGCGAGAGGGGCGGCAGGCUGCAGAUCACCUUCAGCCCCUCCCAGAUGUCGGCGUCUCUAGCCGCCGCCACGCCGUCCCAGCUCGCUGGCGCGCCCCCGCCUGCAGCGCUGUAGUUCGCGGCAAUAGCACCCUCGUCAUCAUCCUCUUUCAGCUGCAGCCUCUCCUUCUUCACCACCCUCAGGCGCUCCUCCUCCUGUGCCGGCCUCAUCCUUUUGCCGCCGGUGGGCACGGCGGCGAUGGUGUCGGCGAGGGGAGCUGGCGAGGUCCAUUGGAUGGAUUGGGUGCCGACCUCGUUGGGGAAGUUGAGGAUAGCCUUGGGCCCGCGGAGGCGGAAGGCGGCGCAGUCGUAGGCUCGCGCGGCCUCCACGGCGUCGUCGUAGGUGCCGAGCCACACGCGCGCCCCCUUCCGCGCCGGGUCCCGGAUCUCCGCCGCGAACUUGCCCCACGGCCGCAGCCGCACGCCCCGGUACCGCCGGAAGUCGUCGUCGUACUCCUCCUGUCCCUCCACGUAGCCGCAGCUCUCCUGCUGAGGCUGCCGCUCAAGGACCGUCCUCGCCGGCUUCGGCGGCAGCGACACGGAGAGCGCCGGCCUCCGCCACCCAGGCGGCGACGAAGGGCUCGAAUCGGAGUCGCCGCUGCUGCUGGCGAGGGCGUCGGCGUGGAGGUCGUCGAGGAGGUGGGCGCGGAUGAGGUCGAGGUGCCGGUGCGUGAACGCCAUGGUUGCCGUUGCACUGACCCUGAGAGGGGAGAGUCACCGUCUAGCUCCUGCGCUGGUGUGGCUGGCUGGAGAGAGAGCUCGGGAGCGUGGAGUGUGGUCUGGUGGUGCAGCCCUCCUCCGGUGCGGGCGCUAAUAAAGGGCAGGGGAUAA
This 987-nucleotide ribosomal RNA is filed under the name Triticum aestivum (bread wheat). RNAcentral describes it as "partial small subunit ribosomal RNA". The record is from RNAcentral. Lineage: Eukaryota; Viridiplantae; Streptophyta; Magnoliopsida; Poales; Poaceae.